GGAACACACGGUCUCUCUAAGAGUCAUCCAAAGGAUUAGGAAGGACGUUCAUGCAAUCAAUCAGAUUAACACAUUGUGCACUGAGGUGUUGGAGAUUGGAGUUUAAAUAGCCAAAGGGGUGUGUACUUCCAUGCUAUCUUAAAGGGCCGGUAAUAAAUUAAUAAAAUUCCUGACAAAUAGUCCAAGAAGGACAUUUUUUGGCAUCAAUACAUAUUUUCUAGUUUAUCUGUUGAUUAAUUAACAGGAAUACUUUUAAUCAAAAUAUUAAAUGUUAUGUUUUAAUUAAACUGAGGCAAGUACCUCUGUAUUCUGUUACUUUCUACUUAGGGUUACCCCCUUUCUCUUGCCUCAGCAUCUUUGACAUUCCUAUUUCCUACCCUUUCCCCAUUAAAAAAGAUAAAAAUAUUAUCUCACAACAUCACCAUUCCUAAACCUCCUUCACACCUGCUAACUAGCAAUCUUCUUCACGUCUCUGAAACAGUCAGAACCAAAGUCUUGCAACAAUGUCCUGACUCUCCAAUGGCCAUUGAGGACAAAAACAAACCUAUUACUUAGUCCAAUGAACAUUCUGGUGACCCUCUCAUGGAAGAUAGGAAACUUGCAUUCCAAAAGAUCCCCGAUCCACACAGUCUAGGCCAGCUAUGUAAUUCCUGGGCCCAGUCUCCUAUUGUUGCCCAUGGCUUUGCUCUGCAGCAAUCUACAUGCAUCCCUUUUAUGAUUGCCUCACCCUUGACCCCUUUCAUUUAACUCCUUGAAGCAGAAAAAGCCUUUCAGUGGCGUACACACAACCCAUGGGGCUCCGGUG
Pelobates cultripes (western spadefoot toad) is the source of this 805-nucleotide non-coding RNA. The record is from the annotation of a GenBank genome assembly. NCBI's taxonomy places the organism in Eukaryota, Metazoa, Chordata, Amphibia, Anura, Pelobatidae.